AAUGAACAGCGCCAGGGUACCUCACUCGUCCAAUGAACAGCGCCAGGGGUACCUCACUCGUCCAAUGAGGGCAGAGCGGAGGGCAACGCUGCCAUCACACAAGUAUUUGCUGAAAAAGAGUUUUCCUUAGUGUAUUAUUCUGACCGUGAAGAGGCAGAAGAGGACUGUUUUAAAGACAACCCUCCCACUCCACACUGCAGUGCUGUUCGGAAGAAGACGAGGAGUGGAAACAAUUGGGUAUCACUCAGAUACAGUACUUUACAUGUUUGUGGAGGUUUUAAAGUAUACCAUACAAAAGU
Long non-coding RNA from Carassius auratus (goldfish), 299 nucleotides. RefSeq lists it as uncharacterized. The transcript is spliced from 2 exons. NCBI's taxonomy places the organism in Eukaryota, Metazoa, Chordata, Actinopteri, Cypriniformes, Cyprinidae. The record is from RefSeq and is a predicted model, not a curated record.